Molecule: long non-coding RNA, 1114 nt
Organism: Passer domesticus (house sparrow)
Lineage: Eukaryota; Metazoa; Chordata; Aves; Passeriformes; Passeridae
Exons: 2
Source: RefSeq, a predicted model, not a curated record
AGGUCAUUGAGUCCAGCCUGUGACCCAUCCCCACCUUGUCACCAACCCAGAGCACUGAGUGCCACCUCCAGUCAUUCCUUGAGCACCUCCAGGGAUGGGGACUCCAAACCUCUCUGGGCAGCCCCAUUCCCAUGCCUGACACAACACCUAUGGAAUGCUUCAUGGAUUUGUGUGUCCUCACCUGGCUCUGGGGGUGAGCAGCAGCAAUCUCAUGACAUACUCAGAGCACUGAUGCAGGACGGCAUUUCAGCAAUUUCUCUGCUCAUCUACAGUAUUUCACUCUCAUCCCUCAGGUGCUCCAGAGUGCCCUACACAACACAAUCAAAUUAUUGGAGCUCUACUAGGAGAGAAGAUUGGAUUAGCAGCUAAACAAACCGGAUCAGAGUCAUGACCCUGAGUGGGUUUUCUGCAGCCUCUCACCUGCUGGACUGUUAAACCUCUGCUUAAAUUCAAUACUUCCACGAGCUUCUCCAAACCUGGACACCUGGAGCAAGACUAGCUGAGUGCUCGUGGCAGAGGGGUUGGAAGAAGAAAAUCUUCAAGGUUCCUCCCAACCCAAACCAUUCUGUGCUUCAUGUCCCAGGAUCCACCUCCCAUUCCAGAGCAGGGAGACACCUCUUUCCUCAGAUUUCUUUCUCAUCUUGGAGCAGGGUCUUCCUGGCAGCCCUUGCAUGUGCAUUCCCCCUUGGAUGUUUCUCCCACGUUCCUACUGUUGCCUGGCCAAACCUUGCCCUCCUUGUGACUCUGACGGUGCCUUUCUGGUUUAAAACAGAGUAAAAUUGAAGUGGUGACUGGAGAAAAUGACAUCAGCAUUUAAAUAGAUUUCCUGAGGAAAUUUUUAAUGGUCAUUUUUAUAGCUUAUUUUGUGCUUUUUAACUUUUUUCUCCCUGGUCAAAGGUCAAGGAAUUAUUUCAUACAGACCAGUACAGGAAAAGAGCUAAUUCUGACUAAUCUCAGGGGGUUGAUUGUUUUGAUUCAUUUUCAUUCUGAGCAUUGAUGGCCUUCAGAGAGUUUCUUUGGAUGAAUCAAAAUAUUCUCCACCUCUGGGUUUAGGCAAUACAAAAACUUAACAAGUCGCUUCACAUUUAAGAGCAAAACUCCCUAAAUGGGAGCA